AGCAGUGGGGAAUUUUGGACAAUGGGCGCAAGCCUGAUCCAGCCAUGCCGCGUGCAGGAUGAAGGCCUUCGGGUUGUAAACUGCUUUUGUACGGAACGAAAAGGUCUUCUUUAAUAAAGAGGGCCCAUGACGGUACCGUAAGAAUAAGCACCGGCUAACUACGUGCCAGCAGCCGCGGUAAUACGUAGGGUGCAAGCGUUAAUCGGAAUUACUGGGCGUAAAGCGUGCGCAGGCGGUAAUGUAAGACAGAUGUGAAAUCCCCGGGCUCAACCUGGGAACUGCAUUUGUGACUGCAUUGCUGGAGUGCGGCAGAGGGGGAUGGAAUUCCGCGUGUAGCAGUGAAAUGCGUAGAUAUGCGGAGGAACACCGAUGGCGAAAGCAAUCCCCUGGGCCUGCACUGACGCUCAUG
Molecule: ribosomal RNA, 409 nt
Filed under: uncultured bacterium
Lineage: Bacteria
Description: bacterial SSU rRNA
Rfam family: Bacterial small subunit ribosomal RNA
Source: RNAcentral